UACGUAGGUGGCAAGCGUUGUCCGGAUUUAUUGGGUUUAAAGGGUGCGUAGGCGGUUUUCUAAGUCAGUUGUGAAAUACGGCAGCUUAACUGUCGAGGUGCAAUUGAUACUGGAAGACUUGAGUACUGAUGAGGUAGGCGGAAUGGACGGUGUAGCGGUGAAAUGCGUAGAUAUCGUCAAGAACACCGAUAGCGAAGGCAGCUUACUAGACUGUAACUGACGCUGAGGCACGAAAGUGUGGGGAUCAAACAGG
RNAcentral lists this ribosomal RNA (253 nucleotides) under uncultured bacterium. RNAcentral's name for it is "partial 16S ribosomal RNA". It matches the Rfam family "Bacterial small subunit ribosomal RNA", at positions 524 to 776 of the family's 1533-position model. The record is from RNAcentral.